Molecule: transfer RNA, 72 nt
Filed under: Perkinsus olseni
Lineage: Eukaryota; Perkinsozoa; Perkinsida; Perkinsidae
Description: tRNA-Gln
Rfam family: tRNA
About the family: Transfer RNA (tRNA) molecules are approximately 80 nucleotides in length. Their secondary structure includes four short double-helical elements and three loops (D, anti-codon, and T loops). Further hydrogen bonds mediate the characteristic L-shaped molecular structure. tRNAs have two regions of fundamental functional importance: the anti-codon, which is responsible for specific mRNA codon recognition, and the 3' end, to which the tRNAs corresponding amino acid is attached (by aminoacyl-tRNA synthetases). tRNAs cope with the degeneracy of the genetic code in two manners: having more than one tRNA (with a specific anti-codon) for a particular amino acid; and 'wobble' base-pairing, i.e. permitting non-standard base-pairing at the 3rd anti-codon position.
Source: RNAcentral
GGUUCUAUGGUGUAACGGUUAGCACUCCAGACUCUGAAUCUGGCGAUCUGGGUUCAAAUCGCGGUAAAACCU